This 253-nucleotide ribosomal RNA is filed under the name uncultured bacterium. Its description in RNAcentral is "partial 16S ribosomal RNA". It matches the Rfam family "Bacterial small subunit ribosomal RNA", at positions 524 to 776 of the family's 1533-position model. The record is from RNAcentral.
UACGUAGGGGGCAAGCGUUGUCCGGAAUCAUUGGGCGUAAAGAGCGUGUAGGCGGUUCGGUAAGUCGGCUGUGAAAGUCCAGGGCUCAACCCUGGGAUGCCGGUCGAUACUGCCGGACUAGAGUUCGGAAGAGGCGAGUGGAAUUCCCGGUGUAGCGGUGAAAUGCGCAGAUAUCGGGAGGAACACCUGCGGCGAAGGCGGGUUGCUGGGCCGACACUGACGCUGAGGCGCGAAAGCUAGGGGAGCGAACGGG